This 779-nucleotide long non-coding RNA is filed under the name Androctonus crassicauda. The record is from RNAcentral. Lineage: Eukaryota; Metazoa; Arthropoda; Arachnida; Scorpiones; Buthidae.
UUUGAUUCUUCUCAGUGCAUCCUCCGUCAAGGUAGUGGAAUACUGACUGUCCUAAAAUUUUCAUGCACCACUUUGCUAAGCACUUUUCCAGGUUAUAUGUGGGCACUUUUUGUUUUUCUACUAUGGGUCUGGUGGUGAUCGAGCAUUUGUGCGUUUUGACAAAUGCAAACAACCUUAAGCAUGCCAGGUCUGUAAUCUUCUUAUGUCUCCAUGCCUGUGGGAAUGCCUUGUCUCUCACAGUUCUAUCUACAGAUCUCACUAAGGCCACGGUUGGGUGUCUGGCUAGGUGCUGUGGUUUUGAUUCAUCUAUAUAAGAUUUCAAAAAAUCAUCAUAGGUGGUUUCAUGCAUUAUUACCAUCUUCUUAGUUUUGUCUUCUCUGGUGAUUUUCAGCCUGUUCUGCUUUGCCCAUGUUGUGAUUUUCUUAAUAAGGUUACGUUCAAUUUUUCUAUCUUUAUUUGUUUUAUUUCUUUGAUGUUGUGUCGUUGCAUCUCUUAAGUACUGCCAUCUUAGUCAUUGUUUGAUAUUAUUGGAUUCCUGUAAAUUGAGGAGUAGGUCUUCUAUUAUUGGCACAUCAUCUAGGAAGUAUAUCAUAUUUACCUUGCAUUCUUUUAGGAAAGUCCAGGUCUCGAAUGCCUUAGACCACUUUAAGAGUGUUUUCGAGUAUUCUUUAAGAAGCUGAAAGUUGCUAAGCUUAUACCGAUGCACAACCCACCCUAUGUCUGUGCUGGCCUUGGGCGUCGGAGCGGCUAGCAUCUUGGGGAUGCAUUCUGGAGCCACC